Molecule: ribosomal RNA, 419 nt
Filed under: bacterium
Lineage: Bacteria
Description: partial 16S ribosomal RNA
Rfam family: Bacterial small subunit ribosomal RNA
Source: RNAcentral
UGGGGGAUAUUGCACAAUGGGCGAAAGCCUGAUGCAGCGACGCCGCGUGGGGGAUGAAGGCCUUCGGGUUGUAAACUUCUUUUGCUCUGAACAAGGCAUGCUAAUGGGUGUGUUGAGUGUAGGGGUUGAUUAGCGCCGGCUAACUACGUGCCAGCAGCCGCGGUAAUACGUAGGGCGCGAGCGUUGUCCGGAAUUAUUGGGCGUAAAGGGCUUGUAGGUGGCUGGUUGCGUCUGUCGUGAAAGCUCAUGGCUUAACUGUGGGUUUGCGGGGGGUAAGGGGUUGCCUGAGGGCAGGAAGGGAGGCUGGAAUUUCUGGUGUAGCCGUGGAAUGGGGCGAUAACAGGAAGAAUACCGGUGGGCAAGGGGGGUUCUUGGGCUGUUACUGACACUGAGGAGCGAAAGCAUGGGGAGCGAACAGG